Molecule: ribosomal RNA, 403 nt
Filed under: uncultured bacterium
Lineage: Bacteria
Description: bacterial SSU rRNA
Rfam family: Bacterial small subunit ribosomal RNA
Source: RNAcentral
GGGGAAUAUUGGACAAUGGGCCACAAGCCUGAUCCAGCAAUUCUGUGUGCACGAUGAAGGUCUUCGGAUUGUAAAGUGCUUUCAGUUGGGAAGAAGUAAGUGACGGUACCAACAGAAGAAGCGACGGCUAAAUACGUGCCAGCAGCCGCGGUAAUACGUAUGUCGCAAGCGUUAUCCGGAUUUAUUGGGCGUAAAGCGCGUCUAGGCGGAAAAGUAAGUCUGAUGUUAAAAUGCGGGGCUCAACUCCGUAUUGCGUUGGAAACUGCUUUUCUAGAGUACUGGAGAGGUGGGCGGAACUACAAGUGUAGAGGUGAAAUUCGUAGAUAUUUGUAGGAAUGCCGAUGGAGAAGUCAGCUCACUGGACAGAUACUGACGCUAAAGCGCGAAAGCGUGGGGAGCAAAC